AUGGUUAGAUGAAAAAUUYACUUUCUUUUUUUUAUAUUAUAAAAUUUAAUUUUUGGAUUAAAAAGUCUAAGUUAAUUUAGAGGACGAGAAGACCCUAUAGAACUUUAUUUAUAUUUUUUGUUUGGUUUUUKGUAUUUAAAUAUUUAUCAAAGAAGUAUAAAUUUUAUUGGGGUGAUAAAAAAAAUUUUUUAACUUUUUUUCUUUUUAUCAUUUAUUUAUGAAUUUUUGAUCCUUUAUUAUGGAUAAUAAGAUUAAGUUACCUUAGGGAUAACAGCGUUAUUUUUUUGGAGAGUUCUUAUCGAUAAAAAAGUUUGCGACCUCGAUGUUGGAUUAAAAUUAGUGUCAGGGGUAGAAUAU
Molecule: ribosomal RNA, 357 nt
Filed under: Compsidolon bipunctatum
Lineage: Eukaryota; Metazoa; Arthropoda; Insecta; Hemiptera; Miridae
Description: partial large subunit ribosomal RNA
Source: RNAcentral